CAGACGUCCAAUGCUGGCUGAAAAAAGUGGGCUUUGCAGCUCUGAAGUGCGUACCUGAGUGCGUAUCACUGGAAAGUGACGCAGUCCAAAUUGUAUUUUCCGACACACCAAAGAAUAAAGACCAUGUUGACAAUGACGUGGUGUCUUGUUUGGCCAGAUGUCUGGGAAAGUCUGUGGUGGAUAUUGAGCGUUGGAUUGAAGAGUGCAAGAAGAACGUCAAAUGCUGGGUAAAGAAAGUGGGAAUCGCAGCUCUCAAAUGUGUUCCAAAGUGCACGCUCACAGCGCCUACACGGAGCAUCACAUCUUGGAGAUUGGAGGUACUGAAUUAUAACACUCAGGGAGAAGGUAGAAGAUUUGUACAGUAGUUGGGCCCAGGUGAAAAGCACAGUUGAUGAAAUGAAGCGAACUGGUGCCUGUGUUAUUGACACACGCAUAUACUAAAGUAUUUUAUUGAGGAAGAGACCACAGGAUACACAAGUAAUUUUGUGAAAGAAGGGUGUCCAACACACUAUUGAAAUGAGCCAAUAAUAGAAAUGAAUGAUGUGGAAAAAAUGAUAGAAACACGGAAUAUUUAUUGAUUGAUUCCAGAUGAAUUUACUUGCGAUUGACAAUGACAUAAGAAAAUAUUUCAAAAUUAACGUAGUAGUAUGCCUAUUAUGAUUAUGUUAAAACAUAUUGUAAAGACUCAUUUGUGAUAAUCUAUGUACUUUUUAUUAGUAAUCUCCGUGAAGAAUUGUUUGAAGAAAUACAAUCUCGAUCUGUUUUGUCCAUCAUAACGUAGGCCUAUGCCUUCUUAUUUACUGUUUAUAUAUAAUUAUGUCAAGAAUAUCUUAAAUUGUCAAUCCAUUUGUAUGGAGAUGAAGUUACACAGUUUGAGCAAGUCUUGAUAAUUAACAGUAAAGCCCCUAUUUCACACAGACCACGAAUCCCACGAAUGGCCAUGAAUUGACAAAUUU
Molecule: long non-coding RNA, 956 nt
Organism: Lingula anatina
Lineage: Eukaryota; Metazoa; Brachiopoda; Lingulata; Lingulida; Lingulidae
Source: RefSeq, a predicted model, not a curated record